AGCGGCAGACGGGUGAGUAACGCGUGGGAACGUACCUUUUGGUUCGGAACAACACAGGGAAACUUGCGCUAAUACCGGAUAAGCCCUUACGGGGAAAGAUUUAUCGCCGAAAGAUCGGCCCGCGUCUGAUUAGCUAGUUGGUGAGGUAAUGGCUCACCAAGGCGACGAUCAGUAGCUGGUCUGAGAGGAUGAUCAGCCACAUUGGGACUGAGACACGGCCCAAACUCCUACGGGAGGCAGCAGUGGGGAAUAUUGGACAAUGGGGGCAACCCUGAUCCAGCCAUGCCGCGUGAGUGAUGAAGGCCCUAGGGUUGUAAAGCUCUUUUGUGCGGGAAGAUAAUGACGGUACCGCAAGAAUAAGCCCCGGCUAACUUCGUGCCAGCAGCCGCGGUAAUACGAAGGGGGCUAGCGUUGCUCGGAAUCACUGGGCGUAAAGGGUGCGUAGGCGGGUCUUUAAGUCAGGGGUGAAAUCCUGGAGCUCAACUCCAGAACUGCCUUUGA
RNAcentral lists this ribosomal RNA (501 nucleotides) under uncultured bacterium. RNAcentral's name for it is "bacterial SSU rRNA". It matches the Rfam family "Bacterial small subunit ribosomal RNA", at positions 94 to 630 of the family's 1533-position model. The record is from RNAcentral.